GACGAACGCUGGCGGCCCGCCUAAUACAUGCCAGCAAAACGCUGAAAGACCGACCUUGCUCUUUCCAGAUGAGUAGCAAACGGCUGACUGACACGUAAGUAACCUGACUGGCAUGGGCGCAUAACUAUUGUACACUAUAGCUAAUACCGCAUAACACGAGAUAUCCCAUGAUCGCUGCGUAAAAGGUGCAAUUGACACCACUACCAGACUGGACCUGCGAUUGCAUUAGCUAUUUGGUGAGGUAACGGCCUCCCUAGGGCACGAUACAGACCCCACCUGAUGAGGGUGAUCGGCCACCCUGGGACUGAGACACGGCCCACACUCCUACGACAGGCAUGCGCAGGCAAUCUUCCGUGAUGCACAGAACUCUGACCGAUACAACGCCUACGUGAGAGAAUAACGUUAUCGGAUCGUGAAGCUCUGCUGUACUACAAAAACGAGUGGAGAGCACGGAAAGUUCACACUGUGACCGUAUCUUACCAUAAAGGGACGGCUAGCUACCUGCCACCCCCCGCGGAAAUACUUAUGUCCCGACCGGCGUCCGCAUUUAUUGUACCUCCACCAAGCGCAGGCUGCUACAUAAAUCGGAAGUACAACGCUGAUGCCUAACCAUAGUACGCUUAGGAAACUGUUUAACUCGAGCGCAAGAGGGGAGAGUGGAGUUCCCUGUGUAGCGGUGAAAUGCCUAAAUAUAUGGAAGAACCCCCGUGGGCAAAGCCGCUCUCUGGCUUGACACUGACGCUGAGGCUUGAAAGCGUGGGGAACCAACCAGGAUUAGAUCCCUUGGUAGUCCCCCCCGUAACCGAUGAGUGCUAGGUGUUAGACCCUUUCCAGUCUUUAGUGCCGUAGGUAAAUGCAGUAAGCACUCCCCCCGGGGAGUACGACCGCAAGGUUGAAACUCAAAGGAAUUGACGGGGGACCCCCCCAGCCGGUGGAGCAUGUGGUUUAAUUCCAAACCACCCCAAAAACCCUACCAGGUCUUGACCUCCCUCUGACCGCUCUAGAGAUAGAGUUUUCCUUCUCGACACAAGUGACACGUGGGGCGUGUGUGUCUCCACCUCUCGUCGCGAGAUGUGGUGUUAAAUCCCCGCAUCGAGCGCACCCCCUAUGGUGACUUGCCAUCAUUGAGUUAGGCACUCUCUCAAGACUGCCGCUGAUAUACCGCAGAAGAGUGGGGAUGACACCACAUCAUCUCGCCCCUCAUGACCUGUGCUACACACGUGCUCCAAUGGUUGGUACAACGAGUCAAAAGCCGGCGACGGCCAGCUAAUCUUUUAAAGCCAAUCUCAGUUUGGAUUGUAGGAAGCAACUUGCGUACACGAAGUCGGAAUAGCUAGUAAUCGCGGAUCAGCACGACGCGGUGAAUAAGUUCCCGGCCUG
RNAcentral lists this ribosomal RNA (1380 nucleotides) under uncultured bacterium. RNAcentral's name for it is "partial 16S ribosomal RNA". It matches the Rfam family "Bacterial small subunit ribosomal RNA", at positions 28 to 1383 of the family's 1533-position model. The record is from RNAcentral.